ACACUUGCCUCCAUUAAUCUGCA
RNAcentral lists this non-coding RNA (23 nucleotides) under Arabidopsis thaliana (thale cress). The record is from RNAcentral. Lineage: Eukaryota; Viridiplantae; Streptophyta; Magnoliopsida; Brassicales; Brassicaceae.